Molecule: ribosomal RNA, 468 nt
Filed under: uncultured bacterium
Lineage: Bacteria
Description: partial 16S ribosomal RNA
Rfam family: Bacterial small subunit ribosomal RNA
Source: RNAcentral
GACGAACGCUGGCGGCGUGCUUAACACAUGCAGGUCGAACGGAAAGGCCCUGCUUUUGUGGGGUGCUCGAGUGGCGAACGGGUGAGUAACACGUGAGUAACCUACCCUUGACUUUGGGAUAACUUCAGGAAACUGGGGCUAAUACCGGAUAGGAGCUCCUGCUGCAUGGUGGGGGUUGGAAAGUUUCGGCGGUUGGGGAUGGACUCGCGGCUUAUCAGCUUGUUGGUGGGGUAGUGGCUUACCAAGGCUUUGACGGGUAGCCGGCCUGAGAGGGUGACCGGCCACAUUGGGACUGAGAUACGGCCCAGACUCCUACGGGAGGCAGGAGUGGAGAAUAUUGCACAAUUGGCGGAAGCCUGAUGCAGCAACGCCGCGUGCGGGAUGACGGCCUUCGGGUUGUAAACCGCUUUCGCCUGUGACGAAGCGUGAGUGACGGUAAUGGGUAAAGAAGCACCGGCUAACUACGUG